This 253-nucleotide ribosomal RNA is filed under the name uncultured bacterium. RNAcentral's name for it is "partial 16S ribosomal RNA". It matches the Rfam family "Bacterial small subunit ribosomal RNA", at positions 524 to 776 of the family's 1533-position model. The record is from RNAcentral.
UACAGAGGGUGCAAGCGUUGUCCGGAAUUAUUGGGCGUAAAGAGCUCGUAGGCGGCCUGUCACGUCUGCUGUGAAAUCCCGGGGCUCAACCCCGGGCCUGCAGUGGAUACGGGCUGGCUGGAGGCAGGCAGGGGAGAACGGAAUUCCUGGUGUAGCGGUGAAAUGCGCAGAUAUCAGGAGGAACACCGGUGGCGAAGGCGGUUCUCUGGGCCUGUUCUGACGCUGAGGAGCGAAAGCGUGGGGAGCGAACAGG